GACGAACGCUGGCGGCGUGCUUAACACAUGCAAGUCGAACGCUGAAGCACCAGCUUGCUGGUGUGGAUGAGUGGCGAACGGGUGAGUAAUACGUGAGUAACCUGCCCUUGACUCUGGGAUAAGCCCGGGAAACUGGGUCUAAUACUGGAUGCUACAUGUCACCGCAUGGUGGUGUGUGGAAAGGGUUUACUGGUCUUGGAUGGGCUCACGGCCUAUCAGCUUGUUGGUGAGGUAAUGGCUCACCAAGGCGACGACGGGUAGCCGGCCUGAGAGGGUGACCGGCCACACUGGGACUGAGACACGGCCCCGACUCCUACGGGAGGCAGCAGUGGGGAAUAUUGCACAAUGGGCGACAGCCUGAUGCAGCGACGCCGCGUGAGGGAUGACGGCCUUCGGGUUGUAAACCUCUUUCAGCAGGGAAGAAGCCACAAGUGACGGUACCUGCAGAAGAAGCGCCGGCUAACUACGUG
RNAcentral lists this ribosomal RNA (470 nucleotides) under uncultured bacterium. RNAcentral's name for it is "partial 16S ribosomal RNA". It matches the Rfam family "Bacterial small subunit ribosomal RNA", at positions 28 to 507 of the family's 1533-position model. The record is from RNAcentral.